ACAGGCUGAGUGUUGGGAAAUGGCUCU
Molecule: non-coding RNA, 27 nt
Filed under: Cricetulus griseus (Chinese hamster)
Lineage: Eukaryota; Metazoa; Chordata; Mammalia; Rodentia; Cricetidae
Source: RNAcentral